UAACGCGUGGGUAACCUGCCUUACACUGGGGGAUAACACUUAGAAAUAGGUGCUAAUACCGCAUAAGCGCACGAAGCCGCAUGGAUUUGUGUGAAAAACUCCGGUGGUGUAAGAUGGACCCGCGUCUGAUUAGCUUGUUGGCGGGGUAACGGCCCACCAAGGCGACGAUCAGUAGCCGGCCUGAGAGGGUGGACGGCCACAUUGGGACUGAGACACGGCCCAAACUCCUACGGGAGGCAGCAGUGGGGGAUAUUGGACAAUGGGGGGAACCCUGAUCCAGCGACGCCGCGUGAGUGAAGAAGUAUUUCGGUAUGUAAAGCUCUGUCAGCAGGGAAGAAAGAAAUGACGGUACCUGACCAAGAAGCCCCGGCUAACUACGUGCCAGCAGCCGCGGUAAUACGUAGGGGGCAAGCGUUAUCCGGAAUUACUGGGUGUAAAGGGAGCGUAGACGGUUAAGUAAGUCUGGAGUGAAAGGCCGGGGCCCAACCCCGGGACUGCUCUGGAAACUAUUGAACUUGAGUGCAGGAGAGGUAAGCGGAAUUCCUAGUGUAGCGGUGAAAUGCGUAGAUAUUAGGAGGAACACCAGUGGCGAAGGCGGCUUACUGGACUGUAACUGACGUUGAGGCUCGAAAGCGUGGGGGAGCAAACAGGAUUAGAUACCCUGGUAGU
RNAcentral lists this ribosomal RNA (669 nucleotides) under uncultured bacterium. RNAcentral describes it as "bacterial SSU rRNA". It matches the Rfam family "Bacterial small subunit ribosomal RNA", at positions 111 to 794 of the family's 1533-position model. The record is from RNAcentral.